Molecule: ribosomal RNA, 249 nt
Filed under: uncultured bacterium
Lineage: Bacteria
Description: partial 16S ribosomal RNA
Rfam family: Bacterial small subunit ribosomal RNA
Source: RNAcentral
UGGGUGAGUAAUGUCUGGGAAACUGCCUGAUGGAGGGGGAUAACUACUGGAAACGGUAGCUAAUACCGCAUAACGUCGCAAGACCAAAGAGGGGGACCUUCGGGCCUCUUGCCAUCAGAUGUGCCCAGAUGGGAUUAGCUAGUAGGUGGGGUAACGGCUCACCUAGGCGACGAUCCCUAGCUGGUCUGAGAGGAUGACCAGCCACACUGGAACUGAGACACGGUCCAGACUCCUACGGGAGGCAGCAUG